This 945-nucleotide unclassified non-coding RNA is filed under the name Hevea brasiliensis (rubber tree). The record is from RNAcentral. Lineage: Eukaryota; Viridiplantae; Streptophyta; Magnoliopsida; Malpighiales; Euphorbiaceae.
CAUCAAUUUCGGUUCGGUUCGGUUCGAACUGAAUGCUCACCCCUACUUUUGAUAGAAAUAAAUUUAUACUAUUACAUGGUUUUUAGCCUUUUACCCCAUGCAAGGGGUCUUGAACUCUUAUGUAACCCAUUUUAUUCUAAUUUUCAGCUUAUGUUUUCAAGCUUUACUUUAUUUUUUUUCUUUUGGCCAUGUUUGAGCUCUUUUUGCUUGCUUUUUCCUUUUGAAAUUUCUUUGGAUCCAUUCAUGGCUUGUUUUAUAUUUUCCUGCUCAAAAGAAUAAAAUAUUAAAGCAAAAAGAAUAAUAUCAAAAUUUUAAGACCCAAAAUUAAUAAAACUCAUUUGAGAUUUCGGAUAUCAAGUUUGGGACUUCAAUCCCAAUAUCUCCCAUUCGAUCUUCUAAUGUUAUCAAAAGACAAACAUAAAACUUAUGUAUAACAAAAUAAUUAAAUUUAGUAUGCAAUAAGAUUUUAAGAAACUAAAAAAUAAGAAUCACAAUGUAUAGGCUACUACUUGUGUUCACAUCUAAAAAUGCCUAAAACUUUUUGAAAAGUUUCAAAUUUUACCAUAGUCUAGUUAACACUUCAUAUUACAAAAUAGAAAAAUAAAUCAUUCACAAAUAUGAAUGGGUAUAUCUUUCGAUCAAUAAGCUAAAUGAAAUUAACAUGCCAUAUGUGUACACAUGCGAAAACAUAACCCAUCAACCAAUUAAAUUUAUAUGCAUAAAAUAAAAUAAAGCUAAAGACUUUGAAUUGAGGCUGACAUCCUAACAAACAAUUUAAAUGCAUAGGUAUAUCUUCAGAUCAAUAAGCCAAACGAAAUUAAUAUGCCAUAUAUAGUACACAUCUUAACAAACAAUUUUAAAGGGUAAAUUUUAAUAACUGUCCUUGAACUUAUAUAGUUGUAACACUAUAGUCCUUUAACUGUAAAAUGUAACAUAAAACCCCCU